CACUCUCCAAUACUGCAAAAUAAAGAAAAAGUGCUCAACUCCUCCCCUCCAGAACAUUGCCAAUUCAACUUUCUGAAUGCUGAUAUGUUUUUAUAGAAGCAUAAACCUAGCAGAGACAAGCAGGGAUCAGUAGGAGCCAGAGUACAAGGCUGCCCAACAGUUGCCCUGCCUUCCUUUUAUAUCUUUAAAUAGAAGGUCCUAGGUUAGUACCCUAAUUUUUUUAAUAUUAUUUUCUGGUUCCUUUAGGAUGUACUAUCUGCAGAUCCUGAGUUCUUGCAUCACUGCCAUCUUUCUGGGAAUCUACCUCCAACUACAGACCACUGAAGCAAAAAUACAAAAGCUGCUUGAUGUUAACGUGAUCCCAAUGGAGCCUGCAAAACCAGGGGGAAAAGUCGAAUUGGCAUGUCAUGUUCAAUCAUAUUGGACAGAUUGUGCUCCGGUCAAAAUCUACACCCUGAGCAACCCAUCCAUUGACUUCCCCUUCAAAAAUUUGACUUAUUCUUUUUGUGCAUGUCCUGGGGAAACUAAGACCUUCUACUGGAUCAUCCAAAGCAGCAGGACUGUGAAUGUAGGAUGUAGAGCUGCUUUCCAUCUGGAUGAUGUUUGCCCUGAGGACCAGAAUUCAAUUCCUCCCCAGAAAAAAAGAAGAUAUGGGGUUAAUAUGAAGACCUUGAAAAUAAUCAACUGAGCUUUAAACCCUAGGCUCUCCCCUUCCCCCCCCCCCCCCCGCCCCCAUUUAGUCAACCUAUUAGGCUAACUGAACAUCUGAGACUAGUUUCAAAUGUAAAAUAAAUAUGCUACAUUUUUCUGCCUGCGUAUGUCCCAUUUUUAAUUUUUUUUCUCAAACACCACACCUUUCAAAGCCCCAUGGUACUAUUACUUUCUAGACUAUUCUUCUUUCAAAGUACUUUUACACACUUUCUUGUGAGGAAAUUAUAGUAAAGAUCAUUCCUACAUUUGGCAAAUGAAGAAAUGAAGGCAAAAAAGGAG
Molecule: long non-coding RNA, 990 nt
Filed under: Sarcophilus harrisii (Tasmanian devil)
Lineage: Eukaryota; Metazoa; Chordata; Mammalia; Dasyuromorphia; Dasyuridae
Description: lncRNA (ENSSHAG00000028798.1)
Source: RNAcentral